This is a long non-coding RNA of Globicephala melas (long-finned pilot whale), 511 nucleotides long. RefSeq lists it as uncharacterized. Lineage: Eukaryota; Metazoa; Chordata; Mammalia; Artiodactyla; Delphinidae. The record is from RefSeq and is a predicted model, not a curated record.
CCACUUACAAAAUAUUACUCAUCGAGAAGGAGCUCCAUGCAUGGCCACAGGUAUGGUCCACCAAAUCUCCUGUGACAGCCACCAAUCCCCAAUCAUUUCACAGCCAGAUGCAGAGGAGUGAGUGGGAAGACUUGAGAAUCUACUAGAUGGAAGGGGCAUGGAUUCCUGAAUCACCACAUGGAAUCCGGCUGCCAGUUGGACUGAGACUGGUAAUUGAUGUGGGAUUGGAUGGCAUAGUUCAGUGGAAAGGACCUAGUUGAUAAUCAUACAGAGAUUCUCACCAUGGGGAAGGGAUGAUUUCUGCUACCAUCAUGCUCACCUGGGAUGAAGGAAGACUAGAGUUCGCUAGCAAGCCCUACGGUUAUAUCUUCCUUGCAUUCUUAUGAUGAGACUGUUUUUAUAUGGUGAACAUAUUCCAAAUGUAAACAAAGAAAAAUUAUGCUGAAAGCUGCUAAUGUUAAGUUUAGAGCUUGCAGAAAAUAUCAGCUAGUGAAGAACAGCUGCCAGAAUA